AUACAGAGGGUGCAAGCGUUAUUCGGAAUUACUGGGCGUAAAGCGCGCGUAGGCGGAUGAUUAAGUCAGUUGUGAAAGCCCUGGGCUCAACCUAGGAACUGCAUCUGAUACUGGUCGUCUAGAGUUUAGGAGAGGGAAGUGGAAUUCCAGGUGUAGCAGUGAAAUGCGUAGAUAUCUGGAGGAACAUCAGUGGCGAAGGCGACUUCCUGGCUUAAAACUGACGCUGAGGUGCGAAAGCGUGGGUAGCAAACGGAAUUAGAAACCCUAGUAGUCC
RNAcentral lists this ribosomal RNA (274 nucleotides) under uncultured bacterium. RNAcentral describes it as "partial 16S ribosomal RNA". It matches the Rfam family "Bacterial small subunit ribosomal RNA", at positions 523 to 796 of the family's 1533-position model. The record is from RNAcentral.